This is a long non-coding RNA of Photinus pyralis (common eastern firefly), 686 nucleotides long. RefSeq lists it as uncharacterized. The transcript has 3 exons. The record is from RefSeq and is a predicted model, not a curated record. Lineage: Eukaryota; Metazoa; Arthropoda; Insecta; Coleoptera; Lampyridae.
CUAGAGUCAUUGGGGCAAUAGAUGGAUGUCAUAUAAAAAUUCAAUCACAAGGUGGAGCUGAUGCUGAAAUAUAUCGAAACAGAAAGGGAUAUUUCUCUGUAAAUGUGCAAGCCGUUACAAGUGCUGACCUGUUAUUCCAAGAUAUCGUCGCACGUUGGCCAGGUUCGACGCACGAUACCACCAUUUUUAGAAAUUCACGAUUAAUGCAUAGAUUCAAUAAUGGAGACUUUGGAAAUAGUAUCUUGUUGGGAGAUAGCGGUUAUAUGAAUCUUUCAUAUCUAUUUACACCUUUUCUGAAUGUUCAGAACGAUGGUGAAAGAAACUACAACAGAAGUCACGUUCAAAGUAGAGUCAAGGUAGAAAAUCUAUUUGGUGUUUGGAAAAGAAGAUUUCCUAUAAUAGCGUAUGGAUGUAGAAUGAAGCUAGAAAAUGUACUUUGUGUUAUUGUGGCUACAGCAGUUUUGCACAAUUUGGCUCGUUUGAGGGGAGAACCAGAACCACCUAUUGAAAAUUUAAUUAUGGAACACGAGCUUCAGCAAGCAAUUCGAGAUGGAGAUAUUCCUUUAGCCGCCGAAGAAAAUGAUUUAGGCUAUGAUUAUAGAAGACAUUUAGUAGAUAUAUAUUUUUCUAGAUUGUAAUUUUCGUAUUUUGCAAGUUUAAAGAUAAAUUAUAUUACAUAUUAACAU